Molecule: long non-coding RNA, 374 nt
Filed under: Olea europaea subsp. europaea
Lineage: Eukaryota; Viridiplantae; Streptophyta; Magnoliopsida; Lamiales; Oleaceae
Source: RNAcentral
GCAUCUUCUAUUGGAGAGAAAGGGUCAUCUCUGACAUGCAGUUCUUGUUCUCCACCAUCAUAUUCAUCUGUAAUUACACACAAAGUUGCUUUUGUGUGAACAGAAAUUAACCAUUGCAAAGGCUUAUCGUCGGCUACAUCAGCUGGGGUACAUUCAUGUUUGGAACUUUAAAUUUCAGUAGAAUCCGAAACUGUGGACUGUUAAUGUUGAGACUCUCAAAUAAUUUAUGUACAAGCUCUUCAUAUUCAAUAUCACGUCGAACAACAAUUGAUGUUGUUCGGUUGCCUAACCACUUCCACUCAUCGUCAAUGUUGACGAAUGUAUCACUGUAGGAGACAACGAAUCUUAUAACAUCAUCCACAUCUGCAUGCCAU